RNAcentral lists this ribosomal RNA (482 nucleotides) under uncultured bacterium. RNAcentral's name for it is "bacterial SSU rRNA". It matches the Rfam family "Bacterial small subunit ribosomal RNA", at positions 29 to 506 of the family's 1533-position model. The record is from RNAcentral.
UUGAACGCUGGCGGUAUGCUUUACACAUGCAAGUCGAACGGCAGCACGGGGGCAACCCUGGUGGCGAGUGGCGAACGGGUGAGUAACAUAUCGGAACAUAUCCGGAAGUGGGGGAUAGCUCGGCGAAAGCCGGAUUAAUACCGCAUAUGCCCUGAGGGGGAAAGGGGGGGAUCGCAAGACCUCUCGCUUUCGGAGUGGCCGAUAUCAGAUUAGCUAGUUGGUGGGGUAAAGGCUCACCAAGGCGACGAUCUGUAGCUGGUCUGAGAGGACGACCAGCCACACUGGAACUGAGACACGGUCCAGACUCCUACGGGAGGCAGCAGUGGGGAAUUUUGGACAAUGGGCGCAAGCCUGAUCCAGCCAUACCGCGUGAGUGAAGAAGGCCUUCGGGUUGUAAAGCUCUUUCAGCCGGAAAGAAAACGCAUCCCCUAAUACGGGGUGUGGAUGACGGUACCGGAAGAAGAAGCACCGGCUAACUACGU